This 348-nucleotide ribosomal RNA is filed under the name Peripatus solorzanoi. RNAcentral's name for it is "partial large subunit ribosomal RNA". The stretch from base 223 to 348 matches the Rfam family "Bacterial large subunit ribosomal RNA", at positions 2473 to 2599 of the family's 2925-position model. Lineage: Eukaryota; Metazoa; Onychophora; Udeonychophora; Euonychophora; Peripatidae. The record is from RNAcentral.
AGACUGGAAUGAAUGGAUGUAUGGGGCAGUGCUUUCUUAGGUUAAAAGUUAAAAAUAAAUUUUUUAGUGAAGAAGCUAAAAUUAUAUUGAGGGACGAGAAGACCCUAUUAAGCUUGAUAUAAUUAUUUUGUUGGGGAAACAAAAGAAUAAAAUUUCUUUAAAAAGAUUUUUUGAUAAAUUUUAGGAUUUAUUAUUAAUAAUAAUAGAAUAAGUUACUAUAGGGAUAACAGCAUAAUUUUUUUUAAAAGUUCAUAUUGACAAAAAAGAUUAUGACCUCGAUGUUGGAUUAAAAUUAUUAUAUAAUGUAGAAGUUGUAUAAAUUAGUCUGUUCGACUAUUAAAGUUUUAC